RNAcentral lists this ribosomal RNA (885 nucleotides) under uncultured bacterium. RNAcentral's name for it is "bacterial SSU rRNA". It matches the Rfam family "Bacterial small subunit ribosomal RNA", at positions 1 to 865 of the family's 1533-position model. The record is from RNAcentral.
UGACUGUGCGCUGGAUUCACCCUUAGAGUGGAUCGUGGACAAAUUGAACGCUGGCGGCAGGCUUAACACAUGCAAGUCGAGCGGGGAAGGGUAGCUUGCUACCUGACCUAGCGGCGGACGGGUGAGUAAUGCUUAGGAAUCUGCCUAUUAGUGGGGGACAACAUUCCGAAAGGAAUGCUAAUACCGCAUACGCCCUACGGGGGAAAGCAGGGGAUCUUCGGACCUUGCGCUAAUAGAUGAGCCUAAGUCAGAUUAGCUAGUUGGUGGGGUAAAGGCCUACCAAGGCGACGAUCUGUAGCGGGUCUGAGAGGAUGAUCCGCCACACUGGGACUGAGACACGGCCCAGACUCCUACGGGAGGCAGCAGUGGGGAAUAUUGGACAAUGGGCGAAAGCCUGAUCCAGCCAUGCCGCGUGUGUGAAGAAGGCCUUUUGGUUGUAAAGCACUUUAAGCGAGGAGGAGGCUACUUGGAUUAAUACUCUAGGAUAGUGGACGUUACUCGCAGAAUAAGCACCGGCUAACUCUGUGCCAGCAGCCGCGGUAAUACAGAGGGUGCGAGCGUUAAUCGGAUUUACUGGGCGUAAAGCGUGCGUAGGCGGCUUUUUAAGUCGGAUGUGAAAUCCCUGAGCUUAACUUAGGAAUUGCAUUCGAUACUGGGAAGCUAGAGUAUGGGAGAGGAUGGUAGAAUUCCAGGUGUAGCGGUGAAAUGCGUAGAGAUCUGGAGGAAUACCGAUGGCGAAGGCAGCCAUCUGGCCUAAUACUGACGCUGAGGUACGAAAGCAUGGGGAGCAAACAGGAUUAGAUACCCUGGUAGUCCAUGCCGUAAACGAUGUCUACUAGCCGUUGGGGCCUUUGAGGCUUUAGUGGCGCAGCUAACGCGAUAAGU